GAUGAACGCUGGCGGCGUGCCUAAUACAUGCAAGUCGAGCGAACAGACGAGGAGCUUGCUCCUCUGACGUUAGCGGCGGACGGGUGAGUAACACGUGGAUAACCUACCUAUAAGACUGGGAUAACUUCGGGAAACCGGAGCUAAUACCGGAUAACAUGUUGAACCGCAUGGUUCAACAGUGAAAGACGGUCUUGCUGUCACUUAUAGAUGGAUCCGCGCCGCAUUAGCUAGUUGGUAAGGUAACGGCUUACCAAGGCAACGAUGCGUAGCCGACCUGAGAGGGGGAUCGGCCACACUGGAACUGAGACACGGUCCAGACUCCUACGGGAGGCAGCAGUAGGGAAUCUUCCGCAAAGGGCGAAAGCCUGACGGAGCAACGCCGCGUGAGUGAAGAAGGUCUUCGGAUCGUAAAACUCUGUUAUUAGGGAAGAACAAAUGUGUAAGUAACUAUGCACGUCUUGACGGUACCUAAUCAGAAAGCCACGGCUAACUACGUG
Molecule: ribosomal RNA, 497 nt
Filed under: uncultured bacterium
Lineage: Bacteria
Description: partial 16S ribosomal RNA
Rfam family: Bacterial small subunit ribosomal RNA
Source: RNAcentral